GGUUCCACAGUUCUCUUCCGUGACCCACGGCUUCUAAUAGAGCUAUAACACUUACCACAUGGCCCAAGAUUCCAUUCCUUGGAAUCUGUGAGGCCAAGAACCCCAGGUCAAAGAACACAAGGCUUGCCACCAUCUUGGAAACAGCCGGUGGCCAUUUUGGAAGCGGCCUGCCACCAUCUUGGGAGCUCUGGGAGGAAGAACCCCCUGGUAACACAAUCACUGAACAGCCCUUUGCUUCUGGCUCCCAACUUUCUGAAACACUCUGGGGAAGAUGGUUCUUCACCAAUCCUGCAAUCCAACAGCCACCCAGUAAAAUGAGGAACUGACAUUCUUCCCAGCCCUGUGAGCUAGACAAGUAGCUAGUGUCUCUUCUACAGAACCACUUGAAAAAAAGACAGCUAUUUAAAAAUCUGUGACACUCAAAAAAGCCUUCCAACAUAUGAAUGCCAGCUCUCUUUGUCUUUAAUCCUCUAUUUUUCUUACUGUUGCCAGGAGAUUGGAAGAAGCCAGCAGGCAAUGUAGUCAUUUGGUAAUGUUCUUCCUACUGCCAAGAUGGAUUAAUGCUGGGAGACCUUACAACGGGGCACAAACAGCUUUUAUGCAAGUUAUCUCUCAGGACAGGUGUGAGGGCUCUCCGCAAAGAAAGACUGAUCGCAUCCAAGGUCCUUUAUCCCUGAGAGGGCUUCCCAGGGAUGAGCAACCUGUUCUUCCACAGGGCUGCCAGACGCCCACAGUUUUCCCUGCUGUCUCUCAUCACAGCGGCGGUGGGGCGCGCUCGCCUCCAGCCUGGCUCCGGACGCGGGGUCCCGCCACCCCCAGCAGCGGUCGCAGAGAGCCUCCCUGUUACCCCUAAAGCUGCGGAUUGUAGUAUUCUAGCAAUGGAUGAAAUCCUUUAACCGACUGUAAUAAAAAUAAGAUUGUGAAUAACAUGUGAUUAUAGUAUAGAUCUCCAUAAAACUGGCGGCUGUGAAACCCAUACUUUAAGAAGCAUGGCCUCCCUCUCGAAGCGGCUUCCAGUGACGGUCCAGGAUCUAAUUCACCCUUUUUGGAUCUAAUUCACCCUUUUUGGCUCGGGUACUGGAACAGGUCUCGGC
Molecule: long non-coding RNA, 1094 nt
Filed under: Macaca fascicularis (crab-eating macaque)
Lineage: Eukaryota; Metazoa; Chordata; Mammalia; Primates; Cercopithecidae
Description: lncRNA (ENSMFAG00000053073.1)
Source: RNAcentral